UCCUGGCUCAGGAUGAACGCUAGCUACAGGCUUAACACAUGCAAGUCGAGGGGCAGCAUUGAGAUAGCUUGCUAUUCAGAUGGCGACCGGCGCACGGGUGAGUAACGCGUAUCCAACCUUCCCUAUAGUAGAGAAUAGCCCGGCGAAAGUCGGAUUAAUACUCUAUGUUUUCCAAUGCAGACAUCUAAAAUGGAACAAAGGUUUACCGCUAUAGGAUGGGGAUGCGUCUGAUUAGAUAGUAGGCGGGUAACGGCCCACCUAGUCUUCGAUCAGUAGGGGUUCUGAGAGGAAGGUCCCCCACAUUGGAACUGAGACACGGUCCAAACUCCUACGGGAGGCAGCAGUGAGGAAUAUUGGUCAAUGGGCGAGAGCCUGAACCAGCCAAGUAGCGUGCAAGGAUGACGGCCCUAUGGGUUGUAAACUGCUUUUAUAUAGGGAUAAAGUGCACUACGCGUAGUGUUUUGUAGGUACUAUAUGAAUAAGGACCGGCUAAUUCCGUGCCAGCCGCUGC
RNAcentral lists this ribosomal RNA (511 nucleotides) under uncultured bacterium. Its description in RNAcentral is "bacterial SSU rRNA". It matches the Rfam family "Bacterial small subunit ribosomal RNA", at positions 17 to 518 of the family's 1533-position model. The record is from RNAcentral.